ACACUUGGAGAGGAGCGGAAACUGCAUGGUUGGAAAAUGCAGAUCAGAAUAACAGUGAUAAAUAUGCACUCUCAAGUGAUUGUGCUAUGCAUAAAGAGAACCAAGAAACUAAUCAAGUCGCUGGGAUGUAAAACCCGAGAUAACAACAAUCAAAUGACAUAUAUGACAAAAAAGUUAAUCAAGUGUCAACAAGAAUCGGAUUCAUGGAGACAACUCUGGCAAGAAAGUGUAAAUAAAAAAAAUGAUCUCCGACAGCACAUGUAUUUUGUACUAUAUAGUCUCACAAAGCAGCACUGUCAUGUGAAUGAAAACUACAUCUCACUUACCUUGUGAAGGUAAAACUUUGUAGU
RNAcentral lists this unclassified non-coding RNA (350 nucleotides) under Zea mays. RNAcentral describes it as "misc RNA Zm00001eb007520". The record is from RNAcentral. Lineage: Eukaryota; Viridiplantae; Streptophyta; Magnoliopsida; Poales; Poaceae.